This 466-nucleotide ribosomal RNA is filed under the name uncultured bacterium. Its description in RNAcentral is "partial 16S ribosomal RNA". It matches the Rfam family "Bacterial small subunit ribosomal RNA", at positions 28 to 507 of the family's 1533-position model. The record is from RNAcentral.
GAUGAACGCUGGCGGCGUGCUUAACACAUGCAAGUCGAACGAUGAAGCCCAGCUUGCUGGGUUGAUUAGUGGCGAACGGGUGAGUAACACGUGCGUAACCUGCCCUUAACUCUGGGUUAAGCCUGGGAAACUGGGUCUAAUACCGGAUAGGAGCGUCCACCGCAUGGUGGGUGUUGGAAAGAUUUAUCGGUUUUGGAUGGACUCGCGGCCUAUCCGCUUGUUGGUGAGGUAAUGGCUCACCAAGGCGAAGACGGGUAGCCGGCCUGAGAGGGUGACCGGCCACAAUGGGACUGAGACACGGCCCAGAAUCCUACGGGAGGCAGCAGUGGGGAAUAUUGCACAAUGGGCGCAAGCCUGAUGCAGCGACGCCGCGUGAGGGAUGACGGCCUUCGGGUUGUAAACCUCUUUCAGUAGGGAAGAAGCGAAAGUGACGGUACCUGCAGAAGAAGCACCGGCUAACUACGUG